This is a long non-coding RNA of Ictalurus punctatus (channel catfish), 1621 nucleotides long. Lineage: Eukaryota; Metazoa; Chordata; Actinopteri; Siluriformes; Ictaluridae. The record is from Ensembl.
UCCUGCUCCACCAAAAUCUCUGGUCACAAGCAGCUGCAGAAUAAAUAUUUUACAGCAUGUUAAUUCUCUGGGACUGUAAUGUCACUGUGCUGAAUCACUCAAUGAAACAGCUACAAAGAAGAAAAGAACGAGAAUAAAAGCACGGCUUUGUUACUGCCUGCUUGUGGACAUUUCACAAAUCCGGAGAGAUCAUAUGCUCAAAACACCAAUCCUGAGUGUCACACUGUGUGAGUUCAAAGCACAAGACAGCGUAUAGAAAAUGAGGACAAGCCCACUCAGUGCUUUGUAACAUCUUCACCACUCAGGACACACCCACUCAGUGCUUUGUUACAUCUUCACUGCUCAGGACACACCCACUCAGCACUCAGUUUCACCCUUACCGCUCAGGACAUGCCCACUCAGCACUCAGUUUCACCAUUACCGAUUAGGAUAUGACCACUGGAUGCUUUGUUACAUCUUCACUGCUCAGGACACACCCACUCAGCACUCCCUCAGUUUCUCCCUCAGAGCUUUGAAGCAAAAUGUGAGGCAGUGAAAGCGGCCCUUCCCAGGCUUAACCCGCACAUUCAGACCUUUAUUUACAUACAAAGGAGAACAAAAUCCUUUAAAGUGAUAACAGGUGAAUCAUGACUGUACACAAAUGAUGUUUAUUUGGCUAUUUUAGGACAAAAAUGGUUUUAAAAAAAUCAAUUUAGUGUUCAGUAUUAACACCAGUUUUUACACAAUGUAGGUAAUUUAACUACUUAAAGAACAGAUUAAAUUGCAGUGGUUAUUAUAAUACAAACUAAUACUAAACCGGAUCACCUAAAACCAAAGUUCAAAUAAUGAGGAUCAAUUUAACCAGAUUACCUAACCCUGAUUAACAACAACUGACUAAUUAAGCUAAACCAGAUGAACUAAAAAUCCUGAUGUUGUGAAGACACUUGGCUAAAAUGUUCAAUGUUAAUGCUCAUUAAUGUGAUUAAGAUUAGCCUCAGGAGCAUCUCUACACCUUUCUUCUCAUUAAAUACUGUCACCUGAGCGGAUAAAGAUGUGGAACAGCCCAUGAACUUUUGACUAAAGGGUGUUCUUGAGGGGGUCUGAACUCCUGAAUUAACACAUUAACCCUCCCUGUACUCCACCGAUCACUAAUAGGAGAUUAAAGACAAAGGUUGGAUAUGUUCUUAAAACACACACACAAAAUAACUUUCAUUGCCAAUACCAAAAUAUAAUUUUGCUACCCAAUCCCCCCUAUAAUGGACCACACCAUUUCUUUAUUAUUGACUUACACAUGCUUUAACCAGAAAUGUGAUAAAAAAAAUAAAUAAAAAAAUAAUAAUAAUAAAAAUUUUUUUUUAAAAAUGAUGAUGAAAAACUAAGGAGAGCAGUGAAGACCUAAUAAAGUGUCUAAUACACACUCUGGUUAGAGGAAGUCAAAAAGCUGUAUUGGAAAGACAAAGACACAGCCAGACAGAAGUGUAAUUUGCAUUCAGCUAUAAAUGGGAUGAACAGUGAGUUAUUUUGCACUUCUCACUGAGCCUGUUGGAGUACAGUCUGUACUGAACAUCUACAGAGUUAUAAAUGUUCAUAACACCUCAAACAUUUAGCGAUCAAUAAAAGUGUACAUAGUUACACAAGCAGC